Molecule: ribosomal RNA, 253 nt
Filed under: uncultured bacterium
Lineage: Bacteria
Description: partial 16S ribosomal RNA
Rfam family: Bacterial small subunit ribosomal RNA
Source: RNAcentral
UACGGGGGGGGCAAGCGUUGUUCGGAAUUACUGGGCGUAAAGGGCUCGUAGGCGGCCAACUAAGUCGGACGUGAAAUCCCUCAGCUUAACUGGGGAACUGCGUCCGAUACUGGAUGGCUUGGAUUCGGGAGAGGGAUGCGGAAUUCCAGGUGUAGCGGUGAAAUGCGUAGAUAUCUGGAGGAACACCGGUGGCGAAGGCGGCAUCCUGGACCAACACUGACACUGAGGCGCGAAAGCUAGGGGAGCAAACGGG